Molecule: ribosomal RNA, 498 nt
Filed under: uncultured bacterium
Lineage: Bacteria
Description: bacterial SSU rRNA
Rfam family: Bacterial small subunit ribosomal RNA
Source: RNAcentral
GAUGAACGCUGGCGGCGUGCCUAACACAUGCAAGUCGAGCGCGAUUAAGUGGAGUGAGAACUUCGGUUCAAGUGAAGCUUAUGAAAGCGGCGGACGGGUGAGUAACGCGUGGGUAACCUGCCCCAUACAAAGGGAUAGCCACUGGAAACGGUGAUUAAUACCUUAUAAGUCGGUAGUCUCGCAUGAGACAGCCGACAAAGAUUUAUCGGUAUGGGAUGGACCCGCGUCUGAUUAGCUAGUUGGUGAGGUAACGGCUCACCAAGGCGACGAUCAGUAGCCGACCUGAGAGGGUGAUCGGCCACACUGGAACUGAGACACGGUCCAGACUCCUACGGGAGGCAGCAGUGGGGAAUAUUGCACAAUGGGCGCAAGCCUGAUGCAGCAACGCCGCGUGAGUGAUGAAGGCUUUCGGGUCGUAAAACUACUGUCCUAUGGGAAGAAAAAAUAACGGUACCAUAGGAGGAAGCCCGGCUAACUACGUGCCAGCAGCCGCGGUAA